CUUAUCUUUCCUAUUUUCAUACUUUUGUUAAUACGAAUUAUAAAUAAAGCCUUAGUUAAAUCGGCUAACCCUAGUUUUGAACGCAUUUUUUCCGACGCCUUCGAUUUUCAGUGAUUCAAUCUAUUUUCUUAUCAAUUUCCCCCUUCUUUAUUCAAUUUUCUGUAUUUUCUUGUUGCAGUUUAAGUUUUUUUUGGUGCUUUCUUACUUAUUUUUAGUACUCAAUUAACAUGGAGGUUGUGUCCUUCCUUCUUUCAGGACUGGUUUCUUGGAUUGAUAUCCUUCUUUCGUGAUUAAAAACUAAAUUAAGGAGGCAGGCUCAGUAAUUUAAGCGCAAAGGGUUUCCAAUCGACUACGGUCAAAUUUGUUCAGGCGAAUCUCAUCAAAUUGUGGCCUGAAGAAGUAAUAUCCCGCCGACUACCCUCUACAAUAGAGAUCUCGCUCGGUUUUUCUCUUGAUCGGUGCUUGACCUGCUUUAUCUUAAUUGAAAAGAUAUUCUUUUAAAAAAAAUUAAUCGCUUUGUUAAUUGGAAUUUUUCUUUUCUUGUGUUCGUGAUAUUUCUUGAAAAAUUGAAGACGUCUUUAUUCUAUUUUUUAUUUUUACGGUUUGGAAAGUUAGUUUGAAAAAAUUGUGCAAUUUAACUCCACCAUCUGGUAAAUCACAGGAAUUAUAUAGUUUUAAAUUCUUGACUUUAUUCUAUUUUCAAUGAUAGGCAUAAAUGGUUAUUCUUUUUCUCUCCCUGAAAUGACCGUGUUCUUUUUUUAUGUAUUCGGAGUAUAUGCUUUAGCUAAUUUUUUACGAGUUAUCAAUGUACUAACAAAUCAUUUGGAUCAAAAUUGUAAUUACACAACAGCCUAAAACUAAAAUGAGAAAUGUGGCCUGAAGCUAGUUUAAGGCUUUAGUUGAAGUUUAUGAAUUAUGCUAAAUUAAUCAUAGCUUCUUAAAUGGAAUUUGAACUAGUACUGUCAUACUGAACAAGUAUGGUUGUCUAUUGUUUGAAUAUUUUGGAUGCCUUAUCACCAAAUCUUUAAACUUUGAAAAUAAAGAUGCUAAAUUUGAAUGAAUCCGCGGUCUCUACUCUAUAGGCAACUUGCAAAGUCUUUACUUUGGUUUACUUGUUUAAAUUCAUAAAUCUUUCCAUUGAUUGAUGCUAAACACAAAAAAUCUCAAAACACGCGAGUUUGAAAUAUAAUUCUAGUAAUUUUUGUCUACCACAAAGUUUAGUCAGGGAGAAUAUGAAGUGUGUAUUUCUCACUGCUUCUAUGAUAGAGUGUUUUAGGUUAAGAAACCAAUGAUUAUACAUUGGGUUAAUAUGGAAUUUCCAUAUUCUUGAAAUUUUAUAGGAAGAUCUCUAGAAUAAAUUGGGUAUAUAGCUUCAUCAUGCUGGUUCUUUUGCUCAUAAAAAAUCGCGGCUGAUGAGGUAUAUGUUUUUAUGUAUGUGCUUGCACUGUUUUUAUUGCUGGAAGGACAGGUUAGGCGUGUUUUACCUGGACAUCUUUGCCAUCCGUUGACGGGGGUCGUGUUGGAGCUCUGAUGUAAAGCGUGUGAGGUGGGUGCAACUGAUGUGUCCUCAAUACAACAAUGUUGUUAUGGUUAGCCUAAUGGGUUGUAGUUGGUUUGCUGCAACUUUUUUUUUGUUUUAGUGAUGUUAUAGUUGGGUUUGAGUUUGUUCUUUUCAGGCUGUUUGGGUGGUGUUGAUUGAUAAAGUCUGUUGUUGCUUUUCAUCAGGCCCAGAGUUGGCUCCUAUUGGUAUGUUGUUUCAUGCCGUUUCUGCAAGCUUACUCAAUUUUUUUUUCUGGUUGGUUCUGCAUGUUAGUCAUAAGUCAGUGAAGCAUCUAAGGGGAAGUGUUGGAGUUCCGGUGCUGCGGUUAUCAUGACCUGCGUUUACUUUGUAGUUCAUAUGUUUUGUUCUUUGUUGAAUUUGAUUUUGUAGGACUCAAGUUUUUUGGAUUGGUUCUGUUGGUUGAUUCGGUAAUCCCUCCUAGGCCCCAUGUGUACAUAUAAUUUUUUUUGUUACGUAUUAAUACAACGGUUUUUUCAUGAAAUGCCCCUGAGGUUUCACGAAAUUCACCAAAUA
Spinacia oleracea (spinach) is the source of this 2074-nucleotide long non-coding RNA. RefSeq lists it as uncharacterized. NCBI's taxonomy places the organism in Eukaryota, Viridiplantae, Streptophyta, Magnoliopsida, Caryophyllales, Amaranthaceae. The transcript is spliced from 2 exons. The record is from RefSeq and is a predicted model, not a curated record.